This 497-nucleotide ribosomal RNA is filed under the name uncultured bacterium. RNAcentral's name for it is "partial 16S ribosomal RNA". It matches the Rfam family "Bacterial small subunit ribosomal RNA", at positions 28 to 507 of the family's 1533-position model. The record is from RNAcentral.
GAUGAACGCUGGCGGCGUGCCUAAUACAUGCAAGUCGAGCGAACGGACGAGAAGCUUACUUCUCUGAUGUUAGCGGCGGACGGGUGAGUAACACGUGGAUAACCUACCUAUAAGACUGGGAUAACUUCGGGAAACCGGAGCUAAUACCGGAUAAUAUUUUGAACCGCAUGGUUCAAAAGUGAAAGACGGUCUUGCUGUCACUUAUAGAUGGAUCCGCGCUGCAUUAGCUAGUUGGUAAGGUAACGGCUUACCAAGGCAACGAUGCAUAGUCGACCUGAGAGGGUGAUCGGCCACACUGGAACUGAGACACGGUCCAGACUCCUACGGGAGGCAGCAGUAGGGAAUCUUCCGCAAUGGGCGAAAGCCUGACGGAGCAACGCCGCGUGAGUGAUGAAGGUCUUCGGAUCGUAAAACUCUGUUAUUAGGGAAGAACAUAUGUGUAAGUAACUGUGCACAUCUUGACGGUACCUAAUCAGAAAGCCACGGCUAACUACGUG